Molecule: ribosomal RNA, 163 nt
Filed under: Plantago sericea
Lineage: Eukaryota; Viridiplantae; Streptophyta; Magnoliopsida; Lamiales; Plantaginaceae
Also listed under: 12 other names
Description: 5.8S ribosomal RNA
Rfam family: 5.8S ribosomal RNA
About the family: 5.8S ribosomal RNA (5.8S rRNA) is a component of the large subunit of the eukaryotic ribosome.
Source: RNAcentral
UCAUAACGACUCUCGGCAACGGAUAUCUCGGCUCUCGCAUCGAUGAAGAACGUAGCGAAAUGCGAUACUUGGUGUGAAUUGCAGAAUCCCGUGAACCAUCGAGUCUUUGAACGCAAGUUGCGCCCGACGCCUUCGGGCUGAGGGCACGCCUGCCUGGGCGUCA